AUUUUCACUGUGACGUGGAAAGUAUGAAAAACAAACUUUCAACAGAGAGCUUCGAUUGCUGAGAAGAAGCAAAGGGAAUUUUUCAGAAAAUGGCCACCGAGUGAUUUGCUCCGAGCGUUUUUGCGUAAGGCGGCAACGGGUGCACCCGAUAGCGUGCUAGAGUAUGGUAGUACUUGAAGAGGAGUUGCGUGUGAAUGCAGCUCAAACUGAGGUGGUAACACGCAAAAAAGCGUCCUCAAG
RNAcentral lists this non-coding RNA (240 nucleotides) under Enterococcus asini. Its description in RNAcentral is "T-box sequence". It matches the Rfam family "T-box leader". Rfam says of the family: Uncharged tRNA acts as the effector for transcription antitermination of genes in the T-box leader family. The record is from RNAcentral. Lineage: Bacteria; Bacillati; Bacillota; Bacilli; Lactobacillales; Enterococcaceae.